GCCCCCGUAGCUCAAUUGGACAGAGCGUCGGACUUCGAAUCCGCAGGCUGUGCGUUCGAAUCGCACCGGGGGCG
This 74-nucleotide transfer RNA is filed under the name Chloroflexota bacterium. Its description in RNAcentral is "Chloroflexi bacterium (cold seep metagenome) tRNA-Arg". It matches the Rfam family "tRNA". Rfam says of the family: Transfer RNA (tRNA) molecules are approximately 80 nucleotides in length. The record is from RNAcentral. Lineage: Bacteria; Bacillati; Chloroflexota.